GUAGGUGGCAAGCGUUGUCCGGAAUUAUUGGGCGUAAAGCGCGCGCAGGCGGUUCUUUAAGUCUGAUGUGAAAGCCCACGGCUCAACCGUGGAGGGUCAUUGGAAACUGGAGAACUUGAGUACAGAAGAGGAAAGCGGAAUUCCACGUGUAGCGGUGAGAUGCGUAGAGAUGUGGAGGAACACCAGUGGCGAAGGCGGCUUUCUGGUCUGUAACUGACGCUGAGGCGCGAAAGCGUGGGGGGAGCAAACAGGAUUAGAUACCCUGGUAGUCCACGCCGUAAACGAUGAGUGCUAAGUGUUAGGGGGUUUCCGCCCCUUAGUGCUGCAGCUAACGCAUUAAGCACUCCCGCCUGGGAGUACGGCCGCAAGGCUG
This 373-nucleotide ribosomal RNA is filed under the name uncultured organism. Its description in RNAcentral is "partial 16S ribosomal RNA". It matches the Rfam family "Bacterial small subunit ribosomal RNA", at positions 527 to 896 of the family's 1533-position model. The record is from RNAcentral.